This 255-nucleotide ribosomal RNA is filed under the name uncultured bacterium. RNAcentral's name for it is "partial 16S ribosomal RNA". It matches the Rfam family "Bacterial small subunit ribosomal RNA", at positions 524 to 776 of the family's 1533-position model. The record is from RNAcentral.
UACGAAGGGGGCUAGCGUUGCUCGGAAUUACUGGGCGUAAAGGGCGCGUAGGCGGCACUGUUAGUCAGGCGUGAAAGUCCUGGGGCUCAACCUGGGAACUGCGCUUGAUACGGCAGAGCUAGAGGAUGGAAGAGGCUCGCGGAAUUCCCAGUGUAGAGGUGAAAUUCGUAGAUAUUGGGAAGAACACCGGUGGCGAAGGCGGCGAGCUGGUCCAUUACUGACGCUGAGGCGCGACAGCGUGGGGGAGCAAACAGG